GUAUUGUGGUCGUCUCUCCUUGUUUGGAUUGCUCUUGCUUCCUCAUGUGCCUGACUUCUGCGUGGUGUCUUUCAACUGCGGCCCGACGGUAUUCUGAUAUUGAAGAGAGGCUAGCCCGGAGCCAGGCGGAACUCGAUCAGGUCACUGGAUUUCUCGAUGGGGCGCGGGCGAUGAACACCUCUUUGCAAUCAAAACUGGAUAUGGAAAAGAAAAGUCACGAGGUAACUCGCCGAGAGCUCCAAGUGGCAUAUUCCAUGUUAUCAGCCUAUUACCAAGAAUAUUCCCAUCCGCAGGAUGAAAUCCGGAAAC
This 309-nucleotide unclassified non-coding RNA is filed under the name Zea mays. RNAcentral's name for it is "misc RNA Zm00001eb263110". Lineage: Eukaryota; Viridiplantae; Streptophyta; Magnoliopsida; Poales; Poaceae. The record is from RNAcentral.